AUCGCCAGUCAUCGAGCACCACCCACCACCACCGGUGGCCAGCCAAGCCAUGACGUUAUCCCCUCACACACUCCGCCCUCCCCUCCCACUCCCGCUCCCGCUCCCGCCAACUUCAAACCGCCGCCACCACCGCCCGCCGCCGCCUCCCUCCCGCUCCCGCCCCCGCGCAGUCCGCCGCAGCGAACUCCUCGCCGGGGACGGCAUGGCGUCGCACGGCUCGCACCCCACGCUGCUCGAGCACAUGGGCCGGACCGGCGCGCCCGCCGACCUCGCCGUCCUCGUCGCCCACAUCCAGGCCGCCUGCAAGCGCAUCGCCGCGCUCGUCGCGUCCCCCGGCAACGCCGACCUCUCGCGGGCCAAGCCGGCCGCUGCCGGUGCCGCGUCCGCGGCCGGGCGCGACGCGCCCAAGCCGCUCGACGAAUUGUCGAACGAGAUCAUCCUGUCGUCGCUCCAGAGCUCCGGAAAAGUUGCGGUGGUGGCGUCUGAAGAAAACGAUCUCCCCGUUUGGUUGUGCGACGAUGGUCCCUAUGUUGUUGUCACCGACCCGCUUGAUGGUUCUCGCAACAUCGAGGUGUCGAUCCCCACUGGAACGAUAUUUGGAAUAUAUGAUAGGCUGGUGGAACUCGACCAGCUUCCCGUGGAGGAGAAAGCUCAGCUCAAUUCGCUGCAGAGCGGUUCUCGCUUGGUCGCUGCUGGAUACGUCCUGUAUUCAUCUGCCACCAUUUUCUGCAUCAGUUUCGGUGCAGGAACCCAUGGCUUCACGUUGGAUAGAUCGACAGGAGAAUUUGUUCUGACGCAUCCUUCCAUGCAAAUACCCCCCAGAGGACAGAUAUAUUCAGUGAAUGAUGCGCGGUAUUUCGACUGGCCAGAGGGCCUGAAGAAGUACAUCGACACGAUCAGACAAGGCAAGGGGCAGCAUCCCAAGAAGUACUCUGCUCGGUACGUGUGCUCGCUGGUCGCUGACUUUCAUCGGACGAUCAUAUACGGUGGAGUCGCAAUGAACCCGAGGGAUCACCUUCGGUUGGUUUACGAGGCAAAUCCUCUCAGUUUCCUUGCCGAGCAGGCAGGGGGGCGAGGCUCAGAUGGCAAAACCAGAAUCCUGUCCAUUCAGCCUGUGAAGCUGCACCAGAGGCUGCCAUUGUUCCUGGGGAGAAUGGAGGACAUGCUUGAGCUAGAAAGCUACGGAGAUGUCCAGCAGAAGGUCAAUCCUGGAUACGAUGUCUAAUGUUAAGCAUGAGGUGAUAGCUUCAGGUAUUGUAAUGAGGUAACAGAUGUAUAUGGCAAAAUCUACAUUUGCAAGCACAGUAUUGUCUCUGUAUUUUAUUUUGUUGCCUUCUUGCCUAGGCAAUUGCAGAGUACUGCACAGUGGAGGUCAGAAGAAUUUGAUGUAGUUCACUGUGAAAACAAAAUAUGCAAUAUGGCUUUUUUUUUGUAACGCCCAUACAUUUUACUCUCGGGAAUAUAUAACUUACGAGCGAC
Molecule: ribosomal RNA, 1479 nt
Filed under: Triticum aestivum (bread wheat)
Lineage: Eukaryota; Viridiplantae; Streptophyta; Magnoliopsida; Poales; Poaceae
Description: partial small subunit ribosomal RNA
Source: RNAcentral